Falco tinnunculus (common kestrel) is the source of this 2162-nucleotide long non-coding RNA. The record is from Ensembl. NCBI's taxonomy places the organism in Eukaryota, Metazoa, Chordata, Aves, Falconiformes, Falconidae.
AUGACGUGUUGGCUAUACUGGAGUCACUGCAGGUUUUAUCCCAACUCUAGUGUUGCCAGACAUCUCUUUUCCAGGUCUUUUCAGCGACAAGGGCACACAUUGACCUCAGCAGCAUGGAAAACACAUGAAGACAACUCUUUUUUAGCAAGCGUCUUGUCCGGUGUUACAACAGGACUGGUUUCACAGCUCAAACCGAUUGCCGUUUUGAGGAUGAAGGAGCAAACCCAGCCCCCAAGGACUUGGCUGGCAUUACACAACCAGCCGACGAUGGAGCAAACGGCUCAGGUGCCCCAAUUCCCACUUUGAUGCUGCCUGCCCUCAACAGCACCAAUUGUACCAUGAUUCAAAGAAGAGCAAGUUCCAUCAAAACCCAAGAAAAUCCCGACUUGCUUCAUUUUCAACACUGUUUGUAUGUCUCUGGCCAUGCAGGGCACCAGAUUGUGCUUGGUUGACUGUUGUUGUUGCUGUUCACGUAACACCUUCCUUAAAGCUUUCCGAGAGGUUUUUGGCCUGCUGUCACCUCCUGGGAAAUUCUGGUAAGUAUCCCAUGCACGCAGGACUGCAUGUUUGUGCCACACGUCAAUCUCCUUCUGGUUUUCUCUUCUACUGUGUUUUAUGUCAGGGACACCCUCAAGGAAACAAGAUCCUGGCUGUUCUUGCUGCUUCUCCCCCAUGUUCCAGGUCUGAUGCCAUCACCACAGCAACCUAGCAUGGAGUCACUUAUGGCUGAAUGAAGAGCUGGUGCCGCCCAGAGCCGGAAAAAAACAACAGAAAAUGCCGGUUUGGGUGCAUGCUUGGAACUCCAACCCAGCAGAGAGUAAACAUGGACACCUGGAGCAGAACACUGCCUUACUUGAAUGCUGUACUUGAAUGGGGGUAGGUAGGCUUUUCACAUUUCCAGUGCACUAACAGCAGAAGGACUCAGUUCCCUCUAAAUGGUAUUGAGUUAUAAAAAAAAGCCAUGAUCCCCAUCUAAGAGAAUCUGUAAUGUACCUUAUUUUGUGCAUGUACUCAUUCUUGUGCCCUAUAUGAGAAUACAACUGUUAGCACCAGUGGAAAGAUAAAUGCUGCCCUGCUCAGUAGACAAUGAUAAGAGCUGGGUGAGCAUCUCAUUGAUGCAGCUCAUAGAAUCAUUAGGUUGGAAGGGACCUCUGGAGGACACCUGGUCCAACCUCCUGCUCAAAGCAGGCCAAGUUGGAUAAGGUUGUUAAGGGUCUCCUUGAGUUCUGAGAAUUCCCAAGGGUGCCAAUUUCUCUAUGCAGUAUUUGCAGAUUCCCAUUUACAAAUGAUCCACAUUUGCCACGAAGGCCAGAUUCCACAAGUUCAUUCAUUUAUAUCUUAAAUAAGUGGGUUGUGUGGGUGUCCAUCAGUUCAUGGACUGCCCACAAAAUUCUCUCCUACUCCCCCUCCUGCAAAAGAAAAGAAGAAAUUGUACAGACAUUUGCAAGAGGAGCUUGGAAAGGAGUAGAGGCAAGGAAACCUGGAAGGGGCAAGAGCUGCAAACAGCAAAAGCAAAAUUGUGUUUGUGAGCAGGUCUAACAGCUUCUGCCCAGCUCUGAUCAUAAUGUCUACUUACAUGGUGUUACUAAGUCUCAAUCUGUGCUUUCUCUAGCUCGGUACCAGCAGUGGGUAAGGGGCACCCAGGGGCAUAUGGCAUUCUGCACUCCAGCCCUCCCUGCCUUUGGCAUGGGAGUGCAGUGGCUUUGAAAAUUACAGCCCUGUAACUUAAACCAAACUGCCUGUCACUCAAGCCAGAAUCAGCUGGGGUGGUUUUGGUUCUUAGUCAGUAGGCUCUAGCAGUCAGUAGUCUCUGUUGUCUGCAUUUCCAACUGAAAAGCGUGCAGCUCUAGCCAGCUCUGGUGUAGACGAUCACUUGGUAACUCACAGGCUUCAAGCAGACUUCUGCAGACCUCUGAGAAAAUAUUUGUGCUUGUGGGGCGGAGGACAAAAAAAACUGGCUUCCCCUCUGUAAAUAUGACUGGGGUCAGUCCUUAAAACACGCCCAGAACAAAAUCGUAUUUUAAACAGUAUGUGAAAUAGCUGCCACAUUUUUGUGCGGUACCUUGCUCCCCCCAAAUAAAAAAUUAGGAUGGUUGUUGGUUGUUCUUGAUUUUUAAGUGUUAACGUGGAGGAGCUUUCUGAUGCUUUAUGAUGGGCGACCA